GACUCUAGUCUAAGUUACGACUUUGUCCCGUUAUAUUCCUAUGUCCAUGAAUCUGCAGCGACCUCAAGAACCCCCAGAAAUACAUUUUCCUGAUAUUUAUAUCGUUUUUCAAAUUAAGUCUGCCAUAUUGGAUCCGCUCCCAUCUUGAAUUUCGGGAAUCUGAUCAUUGAUUCAUAAUCAGCGACUCCAAGAACCCCCAAAUAUACAUUUUUAUAAAAUUUGCAUUGUUUUUCGAAUUUGGGUCCGCCAUAUUGAAUUUCUAAAUUUUGACCUCAGAUUCGUAAUCAGCAACCUCGAAAACGCUCGAGUACCAAUUUUCAAGUCAAUCAUAGACAAAUACCAGCGACGUUACAUUUCUCGCCGCAAACAUCAUCACCGCCGAUGCGUCAAAUAAAUGUGUGCUAAACCAGGCUCCUCCCUCAAUAGAGACUACAAAAAACCUAGAUAAAUGUUUAGAAAUGCCAUAUGCAGUCUGAAGCAGAUCUUGGUACUUAAUAAUAAUUGUGCGAAUUUUUACAAUUUGCACUUCAGGUUUCAGGUAAAUUGCGUGCCGUAUAUUUGCCGAUUUUGAAACACAGCUCCAAACUGAAACCGGACUAUGUAAUAUCACAAAUUAAAUUAACAAACAAUUUAAUAAUUUUAAUGCCAUUAACUAUAAUAUUUUGUUAAAUCCUGUAGAACUUAUUGCGAAAAAUAUUACCUCAGCCAAAAUUUGAACUUGGACUUUCCUACUCUCCGCGCGGUCGUCUUAUCGACACUGAGGCAAUAUGUAGCAAUAUUUACACAAUAAGUGAUAAAUAUGGAAAGAAAUCUUCAUUUUUAUAUUAAAGUUUAAAGAGCUCCUGUCUAUUCACUACGUCAUCUUGGAUUGUAUCAGAAUUGAAAAAAUAUAUAAAUUAAGAAAUUCGUGCAAAACAUUACAAUAUAAAUAUUUUUCAAUAAAACACUAUUUGUAAUUGAUAGAGAAUAGAUUUGUAAAAUUACUAAUAAAUAUACUAAUAAAAACAGUAUUUCAAUAAUCAAUAAACAACCAUAUAUGAAUUUGGAAUUUAACUGCCUGACUGAAAAACAAAUAAAUUACAUAUAUAACAAUUAUUAGUAUUAAAAUAAAAAAAUAAAAAUAAAAAUUA
Wasmannia auropunctata (little fire ant) is the source of this 1130-nucleotide long non-coding RNA. RefSeq lists it as uncharacterized. NCBI's taxonomy places the organism in Eukaryota, Metazoa, Arthropoda, Insecta, Hymenoptera, Formicidae. The record is from RefSeq and is a predicted model, not a curated record. The transcript has 3 exons.